CCUACGGGAGGCAGCAGUGAGGAAUCUUGGUCAAUGGGCGCGAGCCUGAACCAGCCAAGUCGCGUGAAGGAAGAAUGUCCUCGGGGUUGUAAACCUCUUUUAUAAAGGAGUAAAGUGGGGCACGUAUGCCUUUACGUAUCUACUGUAUGAAAAAGGAUCGGCUAACUCCGUGCCAGCAGCCGCGGUAAUACGGAGGAUACGAGCGUUAUCCGGAUUUAUUGGGUUUAAAGGGAGCGCAGAUGGGUUGUUAAGUCAGUUGUGAAAGUUUGCGGCUUAACCGGAACAGUGCAUUUGAUACUGGCAGCCUUGAGUGCAGAUGAGGUAGGCGGAACUCGUGGUGUAGCGGUGAAAUGCUUAGAUAUCACGAAGAACUCCGAUUGCGAAGGCAGCUUACUAGUCUGCAACUGACGCUGAUGUUCGAAAGUGUGGGUAUCAAACAGGAUUAGAUACCCCAGUAGUC
Molecule: ribosomal RNA, 460 nt
Filed under: uncultured bacterium
Lineage: Bacteria
Description: partial 16S ribosomal RNA
Rfam family: Bacterial small subunit ribosomal RNA
Source: RNAcentral